Molecule: unclassified non-coding RNA, 337 nt
Filed under: soil metagenome
Description: partial contains 5.8S ribosomal RNA, internal transcribed spacer 2, and large subunit ribosomal RNA
Rfam family: 5.8S ribosomal RNA (bases 1-120)
Source: RNAcentral
GAUGAAGAACGUAGCGAAAUGCGAUAAGUAAUGCGAAUUGCAGAUUUCAGUGAGUCAUCGAAUCUUUGAACGCACAUUGCGCCUGCCAGUAGUCUGGCGGGCAUGCCUGUUCGAGCGUCAUUUCAACCAUCAAGCCCCCGGGCUUGCGUUGGGGCCCUGCGGCUGCCGCAGGCCCCGAAAAGCAGUGGCGGGCUCGCUGUCACACCGAGCGCAGUAGCGAUUCUCGCUCCGGGCGUCGGCGGCGGGCACCGGCCGUGAAACCCCCCCACAUCCACAAGGUUGACCUCGGAUCAGGUAGGAAUACCCGCUGAACUUAAGCAUAUCAAUAAGCGGAGGA